GAUGAGCAUGCGUCCCAUUAGCUAGUUGGUAAGGUAACGGCUUACCAAGGCUACGAUGGGUAGGGGUCCUGAGAGGGAGAUCCCCCACACUGGUACUGAGACACGGACCAGACUCCUACGGGAGGCAGCAGUGAGGAAUAUUGGACAAUGGGCGCAAGCCUGAUCCAGCCAUGCCGCGUGCAGGAUGACGGUCCUAUGGAUUGUAAACUGCUUUUGUACGGGAAGAAACACUCCUUCGUGAAGGAGCUUGACGGUACCGUAAGAAUAAGGAUCGGCUAACUCCGUGCCAGCAGCCGCGGUAAUACGGAGGAUCCAAGCGUUAUCCGGAAUCAUUGGGUUUAAAGGGUCCGUAGGCGGUUUAGUAAGUCAGUGGUGAAAGCCCAUCGCUCAACGGUGGAACGGCCAUUGAUACUGCUAGACUUGAAUUAUUAGGAAGUAACUAGAAUAUGUAGUGUAGCGGUGAAAUGCUUAGAGAUUACAUGGAAUACCAAUUGCGAAGGCAGGUUACUACUAAUGGAUUGACGCUGAU
Molecule: ribosomal RNA, 529 nt
Filed under: uncultured Bacteroidota bacterium
Lineage: Bacteria; Pseudomonadati; Bacteroidota
Description: bacterial SSU rRNA
Rfam family: Bacterial small subunit ribosomal RNA
Source: RNAcentral